RNAcentral lists this long non-coding RNA (937 nucleotides) under Homo sapiens (human). RNAcentral describes it as "HSALNT0215105". The record is from RNAcentral. Lineage: Eukaryota; Metazoa; Chordata; Mammalia; Primates; Hominidae.
GAAAAGGAAACGGCUAUGUAAGGGAGACACAGACAGAGACACAGAGAGGAAGAGAGAGAGAGGUGGAUUUUUAAUGACAGGAGGAAGCCCCAGAUAUGGUGAAUAUGGAGUUAAGUUGGUGGCCAGUCAAGAAGGUGGGGACAGUGAGAAUGCAGAGGGAAGAAGGUACCAAAACCCAGAAGUGGUCCAGACAGAACACAGAGAUCAGAGCUUCCUUUUCAUCAUCUGCAUGGCAGUGACAAGAGGUCAUGAACCUAUCCUCCCAUUACCAAUGGGGACUGAACAUGGGGAAGAAGCCUUGUGUUUAAAAGCAGCGAGACUCGGAUGCAUCAAAGGGGAUCAAUAGAAGCCAGAAUAAGCAUGAACCCUUGACAACAUGCUGGUGAGGAACACUUUGGGAAUAAUAAACAACAAAAUGAACAACUUCAACAUAGAAAAAGCAGACACCAGAAGAGACAUCCUCCUGGGAAUCUCAAUUUAUAUCAGCUUGUUUCGUUAUCACAAUUGAAAUGACCAUUUAAGUCAGUUUUCUGAUUGCUCUUUGAAAAUGUCAUUUUACAUUCAAACCAGUCCCUGGAAUCUAGCACUAAGUAUCCCAUGUCUAGGGAUACUUCUAGCCACAGCUGCAAACAUUUACACAUGAGGACGUUCACUGCAGACUUCAAAAUCACAAGACAUGGGAGGCACCCUAUAGGUUGGAGAGUUGUUUAAGCAAAGUGUGGUAACCCAGAUGGCAAAAUGCAAGGCAGUUAUUAAAACUGACAUUUAUCCUGGCUAACACAGUGAAACCCCGUCUCUACUAAAAAUACAAAAAAAUUAGCUGGAUGUGGUGGCGGGCGCCUGUAGUCCCAGCUACUCAGGAGGCUGAGGCUGGAGGAUGGCGUGAACCAGGGAGGCGGAGCUUGCAGUGAGCCAAGAUUGCACCACUGCACUCCAG